This 390-nucleotide ribosomal RNA is filed under the name Cryptosporidium parvum. Its description in RNAcentral is "SSU rRNA". It matches the Rfam family "Eukaryotic small subunit ribosomal RNA", at positions 670 to 1064 of the family's 1831-position model. The record is from RNAcentral. Lineage: Eukaryota; Apicomplexa; Conoidasida; Eucoccidiorida; Cryptosporidiidae.
UUAAUAAUUUAUAUAAAAUAUUUUGAAUAUUUAUAUAACAUUAACAUAAUUCAUAUUACUAUAUUUUUUAGUAUAUGAAAUUUUACUUUGAGAAAAUUAGAGUGCUUAAAGCAGGCAUAUGCCUUGAAUACUCCAGCAUGGAAUAAUAUUAAAGAUUUUUAUCUUUCUUAUUGGUUCUAAGAUAAGAAUAAUGAUUAAUAGGGACAGUUGGGGGCAUUUGUAUUUAACAGUCAGAGGUGAAAUUCUUAGAUUUGUUAAAGACAAACUAAUGCGAAAGCAUUUGCCAAGGAUGUUUUCAUUAAUCAAGAACGAAAGUUAGGGGAUCGAAGACGAUCAGAUACCGUCGUAGUCUUAACCAUAAACUAUGCCAACUAGAGAUUGGAGGUUGUU